ACUAUAUAGAGGUCCCAAAAUUUACUACACAUGACCUAUGCAUGUUAAGCAUUCUAAAAUUCAUAUUAAAUACAUUUAACAUGGAAAUGCAUGAAUUUCUAUUUUACGAAACAUAUUUGCCAUAUAUGAGCAUUUUUCAUAUCAUAGGCUAGGUCAAACCCACCGAACCGUCGCGUAGGGUCUCGAUUCGCCGAACAAAGUUGUCCACGAGUCUCUAGAUACCCUAAAAGUGACCAGCGAAGAGAUACGAGAGUAUUACGACCAUCCGAGAGAUCAAACAUUAACCUAGGAGCAAAAAUGGCCAAAAUUUACCUCAAGGGUAGAAAUCUCCCCCAAAGCUCCAAAAGAGAGCUAGAACCCUUCCAAUCCAAGCCCUAGGAAGGUUCUAAACCAAUCGAUUUGGGUCCAAAAGCCCUAGAUCGAAAAUGCCCAAAAUAAGCCCUAAAUCUCAUUUCUAGGGUUCCAUCU
Molecule: long non-coding RNA, 468 nt
Filed under: Ananas comosus (pineapple)
Lineage: Eukaryota; Viridiplantae; Streptophyta; Magnoliopsida; Poales; Bromeliaceae
Description: long non-coding RNA (ACOM_LNC037637)
Source: RNAcentral